Long non-coding RNA from Electrophorus electricus (electric eel), 599 nucleotides. Lineage: Eukaryota; Metazoa; Chordata; Actinopteri; Gymnotiformes; Gymnotidae. The record is from Ensembl.
CUACAGUAAAGCAGUAUGUUAGAGUGCUAGAGCUGAAUGUGUUUUAUUGUUUUACAGUACCCACUGAGGCACAGGCUGCUGUGAUAUCCACAAACACUUUCACUGAUGCCCAGAGUACAGGAGGGGGCGGUCAUGUCACCCUAGAACCUGACAUGUCCCUAAACGCAAAGAGAGAGAGCGAGCUACCCUUGGACUCAGUAAUGAUCUCACCUAUCAUCUCUGAGGGGAGGAAGGGAAGCAACCCUGAGGCUCUUGUAAGGAGCUUCGUGGAACCUUAUGGAAGCACGUCACGCGUCAUGUCUGCUCACCUUCCGCUUGAACCUGUCCCCGCCUCUGAAGAGCCUAUAUUUAUUUUGUCUCUCACGGAAGUCCCGCCCACUGUAGUCAGAGAGGAGGAGCAUGGGACUGAGCCACUCCCAUUUCUUGAGACAUCAGAAUUGGUCGCCGAAACACUCAGGUGAGCUCUGGGUCGCCCGUACCUGUUCUGGAACGCAUAGCAACCAAAGCUGCAUCACAGGUUGAUGUCACAGGAUGAUGCUCCUAUGUUGACUAACUCUAGUACUUAUUGUUUAUUGCACUUAUCAUUGUCUGAGAUGGAC